CUCUCCCCUCUCCUUCCUUCCUUCUUUCUUUCUUUUUUUUUUUUGGAUAUCCUAUUCCUAAAAAAUCUGACAACCUGGUCUUUUCACAUGUCUAAUUAAAACUUCAGAUAAUAUUAGGCAUGUUUAGAGUAGUGUGUCCUUGGACUUAAAUCUUCUGCAGCUUCCCUCUGUCUAAUUCUUUAGCAGGACACACAAGUUCUUCAUCUUAAGUUCUCUAUACUUAGCAUCCUCAACAUUUGGUAAAUCCAGUAGUCCUAGACCACACAGUAUAUCCUGAAAAGUGUAUUAGAUUAUGCUUUUUGCCUCUGUGUGAAUGCCCUUUCUCCUACAUUUCUGUCAUGUUUUCACCCUUCUUUUGUGAGCAAGCUCAAGUAUUAGCUGGUGACACCUCUUGCAGAGGAAAAUUGAUACAGCAAUUUGGCUCCUUGAGUGAGUAUUCAUAAACAAAACCUAGGUUGAUGUGAUCCAGGUGGAAUACAGCUAUGUUCUUAAUGUACACCUUUAAUACCUCUGGCUGAAAUAUAGACAUGCCCUUAUUACACACCUUUAAUUCCUAAUAAUGUAGGUAAGGUUAGUUUCUAGAAGAAAGCAAUCAUGUUUGAAAGUAAUGUUUAAUUCAGAGGUAGACAAAGUGAUGAAAGAUUUGACAGAAUCAGUGAGAGGAGAUAGGAUAUACCCAACUUUCACAAAAAUACCACAGGAAAGGGAGGUGACUUAAAAGAGAAACACACACACACACACACACACACACACACACACACACACACACACAGAGAGAGAGAGAGAGAGAGAGAGAGAGAGAGAGAGAGAGAGAGAGAGAGAGAGAGAGAGAACGAGAACAGUUUUACCAGGACAGUUUUAUACAGACAGGUUGCUGGUGAAGACAGAAUGAGCCAGGGAAUGAGAAGGAGCCAUAAGAUUAGAACAGAAUUCUAGAAUUCUAGAGUUAGCUUGAGGCCAAGCAAGAACAAUUCAGUGAGAAUCUGAGAGAAGCCAGAUUGAAUCAGCCAGCUCGGAGAGGAACUUGAUCUAGAACAACUGAGUUGAUCCAGCCGGCCAGAAUUCAGAAAGAGGUAGAAAGGGUAAGCAUAUUCAGCAAUAAGCCUUUGAGACAACAUCUAGCAAAUAAAAACUACAUUUACAUCUUGCCUCUGAGGAAACAAAAGCAACAUUUACAUUUUCUGCUCCUCCACACCCAGUCACUCGCUCUCUAAGCUCCCUGUGGUUUGUUCACAACUACAGCAAUAUAUUAUGAACCCUAGUGGUUAGCUAUAUGUAUGCUCAUCUAUAUGCACACAUGAGCCAUAGUAUCAGGGCUGAGGUCAGAGGACAACUCUGGGAGGUCGUUCUUUCCUUCCUCCAUGUGCUUGGUGACAUGCACUUUACUGCUCCGUCUUGCUGGCUGCACUGUGUUUGUUUGAUGAAUCCUGAGCUAUCAGCUACUGUUCUGGGCAUUAUGUUGAAAACUAUUAAGAAAUUAUAUUCUUUCUGUGUAUUUCUUUCUUAACGUACAGGGAUUAAAAAGUAUAAGUUAUAAAGCAUAUAAAGUUUAAAAAGGUAUAUUUAAAAUCUUAUUCAUUAUAAAAUAGAAAUAACACAUUAAUUUAAGACAUUACAAUUAUUUCUCCAUCCCAGGGCCUUUAUAUUUUAUGCUUCAUCUGCCAAGAAUAUCCUUUUUGCUAUGGCUGACUUUUCCCCCAGUUUUUGGCUCACAAACCAUAUUCUCAGAAGCAUCUACCCCAGAUACUCUGUUAGGAAAAAAGAAAAUGUAAAUUUAAAGUUAGAAAAAAAAUCAUUUGCUGAUAAAAGUUGUGGGUAAAAUCAUUUCUAUAACAUUAUUUCUAUGUGAAUUAAAAUAAGAAAAUUCACCAUUUACUUUCAUCUAUACCUUCCACUAUUUACAUCACAUUUACCACGGUCUGCUCAUCUAUGAGCAUCUGCUAAUUUUCUUUUCUGUGAAGACACUUCAUGAGCUGUACUAUCUCACUCCCUACAGCAGCAUGGAGUAUGCACUGUUUCACUUUAGUAGAUGCACUUGCAAAUGUUUGAAAGCAAUUUGAAGAUGGAGGUGACUAGACAUUCCCCAGCAUCAGGAAAUAUCAGUGAAGUACAACUCAACUGUCAGAUGGAGGAUACUAUGUACAUGCUGAAUGGCCAUCUGUUGAUCUUUCUGAGUGAGAAGAAUACAGUAAACAGAACUGGAAUUAGAUUUACACUGGCUUGACACUAAAAACAGAAUGUAUUUGGAACUAUAGAUUGACCUAUGGGUCUUCUCCAAGAGCAGCAGUUACUCUGAACAACUACUAUGCUAUACCAUCAGCUUCUAGAAUGCAUUUUAAACAUGUUUAAAGUGAUACAGUGAAGCAAACAUUGGUUCUAAGCUCUCUCUACAACACCUUAACUUAUCAUCUGCCUCAUUCCUAAGACUGACGUUCCCAGUAAUCAUAAAAUUUGUACUGAAAUUUUCUCACUUUAAUAUACAUGAAUGAUUUUAUAGAAAUAAUUUCAUCUACAACUAUUAUCAACAGUGUAUUUUUCUAACUUUACAUAAAAAUAUUAUUUGACAGCUAAUGAUACAAAGCGUGUGUAAGAAAUUAACAUGCUUAAAGAAAAAUUAAAAAGAUUUUCUACUCUGAAUUCCUCUGAGUGUAUCCACUGGGCUUCUGAGGACCUUUCAGCAAAUCCUCAGGUUCCAUAGAAGGAGUUCAUGGUCACGAAUCACCAAAUUUAUUCCUCUCCAUCAGUGUUUGGAGUGUCAAACAAUUCAUCUCUUAGAAGUAAGCUGCCUUAUAAUUACCUACCACAUGACUGUGUUCAGCAAAGUGCAGACCUGUUCAAGGCCAAUUGUAUUUUGUUUCAAAGAAAAUAGCUUUCUAUGACACUGCUUUAUGUAUGAACAAAUCUGAGAACUUACGAAUGAUUAAAAUACAAAGGGCCCUUUA
Long non-coding RNA from Mus musculus (house mouse), 2942 nucleotides. RefSeq annotates it as predicted gene, 31161. The transcript is spliced from 2 exons. Lineage: Eukaryota; Metazoa; Chordata; Mammalia; Rodentia; Muridae. The record is from RefSeq and is a predicted model, not a curated record.